Saccharopolyspora rectivirgula is the source of this 74-nucleotide non-coding RNA. NCBI's taxonomy places the organism in Bacteria, Bacillati, Actinomycetota, Actinomycetes, Pseudonocardiales, Pseudonocardiaceae. The record is from Rfam.
CGGGGUGUGGCGCAGCUUGGGAGCGCGCUUCGUUCGGGUCGAAGAGGUCGUGGGUUCAAAUCCCGCCACCCCGA